UUUAGUUUUUAAAGUUAACAAAUAAUUUUUAAUAAUAAAUUUAGGAUUUAGGUUUAAAGUUUAGUUUCCAAGAUUUAUAUAUAUAUAUAUAUAUACUAACCAAUUAAACUAUGUAAACUAUUUAACGAAAUAUCACUUUUUCUAACGUUUUAACACACAUAUACAUACACCUAUUCUUCAAGCACAUUAGCAUUGUGAUAGUUUUAUAGAUAUGCAAUUCUUUGCACAUAAUCUAUGUAUUAAAUGACAAGUUUCGAAUAUAAGUACUCUGCUUUUCAAUAACACAGUCACACAGAAGAGCCUUUUGACUUAUUUCGAUCUCUCACUUUAGACCAAUGUCGAAUCUGUUUCUCUUCCAACAUCGUACAUGGCUAAUGGUGCUAGUAUAUUCUUCAAAACUCAGAUCAAGAAGAGGAUAUACGCCCCGCCUAUUCCAGCAAACGUGGCGAGAGACUACGAGCUUACUUACGCUUGGUUAAAGCAUCAAUUACAUUGAUGAAUAAGGACAUCGAUUGUAUCUCAAACCUUCGAUAAUAUCUUAAUCGAAUUUAAACUGUCAAAAUAAAAUCGAAUUUGAACGAGGAUUAGGAUAUAUAUUAUAAAACAAAAAUAUGUUAAAUCAAUUAUGUUUCCAAAUAAUAUUUUCACUCGAUUAAACAUUUUUCCAAGCAACAUAAUUUAAUUCAUCAUGAUCUUGUUUCCUUUAACUAUACCAUUUGUUGAGAGAUGAUCCUUUGAGUGAUUAUGCAAACGGAAAAGAAGAGAAGAAGAAGCUUAAGAUAAUGAAGAACUAAGGAGAAGGAGGAAGAUGUGUCGAAGAGGAAGAUGAGACAGAGCAAGUCAACCAGAGAGAAAAGUCAACUGUGAAACUAAGAUGGACCUCGUGUGAGAAGAAGAUGGGCUUCAAAUGUGCCUCAGCCCAAGAAGAAAUAUCGAGUAUGUGUGAGUCUAAGUCUAAAUUCUAGUAGCAAUGUAGUUGCAAUAGUUGAGUAAGACCCUAAGAUGAUUAGUUAAAGUCUAUUAAGAGUAGUGUGGCUAAUGUAUGAUUACCUAAGUGUCAGGGUAAGGUGAGUGAAGUAAGGAGAGUUAGUAUAACUGGUAGAAAAGGACUAUAUGUAUGAGCAAGUAUAAGUGAGAAGAUAUGUAGAAGAAAACUGUAUGAAAAAUGAGAUGAAUGAGAAUGAGUGUUAAAGAAAAACAAGUAAUCAAAAGAAAGAAAACAAAUAUGUGAGAGCAAAGAGAGAAUCACAACAUGGUAUCAGAGCCAGGUUGUCCUUGGAGCCUGUUGAAGAAAAGCACAAGAAGAAGAAAUCAAAAGAAAAGGAAGAUAAGAAAGAAAGUGAAGUUCAAGAUGGCAAUAAACCUGCAGUCUUCUCAACUUGUUGCAGUGUUCGAUGGACAGAACUAUGAGUUAUGGGCAGCAAGAAUGAAGACAACAUUGAUGAACAAGGAGCUCUGGGAUGUGGUCAAAGAAGGACUUCCAGACCAGUCAUUGAAGUCACCUGAAACUCCAAGAGCUGACCAGACAAAGGAAGUUGCAAACCUUUGGACACUCAAGAGCAAAGACACAGCUGCACUUCAAAUCAUUCAACAUGCUGUAGCUGAUGUCAUAUUUGACAAAAUACUCUCAGCGACAACAGCAAAACAAGCAUGGGAUCUUCUGGAACAUUCUUAUCAAGGUAAUGAGAAGGUUAAAACUGUUAGGCUGCAAUCUUUAAGAAGAGAUUUUGAGAAUUUAAAAAUGAAGGAAGGAGAAAAAGUUAAGACAUACUCUGAUAGGAUUCAGGCUGUAGCAAACCAAAUGAGAUCUCUAGGAGAAGGAAAAUCUAACUUUGAUCUAGUGGUUAAGAUGCUGGCGUCCAUGCCAAAAAGCUAUGCUUCUUUAUCAUCAUUGAUGGAAGAAACAAAGGAUCUAAGAACAAUUACCUAUGUGGAGCUGAUCGGAUCUUUGGAAGCUCAUGAGAAGAAGUUUUUCCCAGAUGGUGAAGAUGAAGAUGCUGAAGGUGCCUUCCAUGCUCUCUACAAGAACCUGAAUCUGGAAAACAGUGACAAAGGAAACACAAGUCAGAUUAGCUAUAGAGAAAAGAGGUGGUGUGGUUACUGCAAGAAGGAUAACCACAAUGAAGAUUUGUGCUACUUCAAAAAUGGAGGAAACACGCUAGACUUCAACAGAAACAGAGAUACAAGGAGUUGUUUCAAUUGUUGCAAACUGGGUCACAUCUCAAGAAACUGCAGAAACAAGAGACCUGAACAAGCACAAGCAACUCAAGAAGAAAAUGAAGAAAAGGAAGAGUACCAUAUGUUUUCAGCAAGACAAGAUGAUCAAAAACCUGUUGAAGAAAACAUUUGGCUCAUUGAUAGUGGUUGUACAAACCACAUGACUCCAAAUGAGAAGCUGUUCACGAGACUUGACACAAGUUUCAAAGUUCCAAUCCAAGUUGGUGAUGGAACGACACUGAUGACCAAAGGAAGAGGAGACAUUGAAGUCAUGACAAAAAAGGGCAAGAGAAUCAUUGGAAUGUUUUUCUAGUCCCUAAAAUUGCUAAGAAUCUUCUAAGUGUCUCUCAGAUGAUUGCAAAUGGAUAUGCAGUUACCUUUAAGCAAAGAAGCUGCAUCAUCCAUGAUAAAUAUGGGAGAAAAAUAACUGAAGUGAAAAUGGCAAAGAAGAGCUUUCAUCUCCAUUUGCCCUUGAGUGAAGAAAUAGUAAAUGCAAUGUCAAAGGAAGAGGCUGAAUCUAGUUAUCAAGGAGCUGGAUAUGCUGAAAUCAGAAACCCAGAAAAGUAUGAACCAUGGAAGAGCGUGCAGUAUCAUAAGAAGAAGCUGACGCUCAAUGUUGAGAAUCAAAGCUACAUCAAGUCAGACAAGAGAGAAUCUGAAGUUAAGAAAGUCAAGGAAGUGGUUCAAGGAACCAAACUGAACAGGAUGGUGAUCAAAAGUGAUACAAAUUAACAAAAAGAAGAUUUAUCUUUGAAGGAGAAAGAGCAGAAGCUGACUGACGAGAUGAUCGGCCGAAACGCAAAGAGAAGCAUCAGAAUAAACAAAGAAGAGACCCAAGAGAGAAUUAAGAGGAUCCAAGAGGAAAAGAACAGAGAAUUCAAGUGUCAGAACACAGAGACAUCGGACAGGAAUGAAGCAAGUCUCAAAUUGAAGCAAGAAAUUCAAAGCCAAAGCAGAAGGGAGGUAAGAGAAUUACCUGUUAGAGAAAAACCCAGAAGCGCUAAGAAGGAUGCAGGGAGCAGAGACUCUUCAACUAAGAACCUACAGAAAGAGGAGAAGCAGAAAUCAAUUGAACUCAAAGAGAAAAUGAUUCAAGUGGGAGCUGAGAAGUAUGAAAAAGAAGAGGAAGCUGAACCCACGAAAAUUCAGAGCAAGAGGGAGAUUGGGAAAUAAAACUCACCCAAGAGCUAUGCAGACGUCUUGAUGAGUGCUCCUCAAACCAGCAAAGGAACAAGUAGAGAAGAAUCAAAGGUACCAAAGUUCAAAACCCUAAAUUGGAAUUGGGGAAUCAACUCAAAGGCUCAAGAGGGAGUGUUGAGAGAUGAUCCUUUGAGUGAUUCUGCAAACGGAAAAGAAGAGAAGAAGAAGCUUAAGAUAAUGAAGAACUAAGGAGAAGGAGGAAGAUGUGUCGAAGAGGAAGAUGAGACAGAGCAAGUCAACCAGAGAGAAAAGUCAACUGUGAAACUAAGAUGGGCCUCGUGUGAGAGGAAGAUGGGCUUCAAAUGUGCCUCAGCCCAAGAAGAAAUAUCGAGUAUGUGUGAGUCUAAGUCUAAGUUCUAGUAGCAAUAGUAGUUGCAAUAGUUGAGUAAGACCCUAAGAUGAUUAGUUAAAGUCUAUUAAGAGUAGUGUGGUUAAUGUAUGAUUAC
This 3863-nucleotide long non-coding RNA is filed under the name Eutrema salsugineum. RNAcentral describes it as "long non-coding RNA (ESAL_LNC001915)". Lineage: Eukaryota; Viridiplantae; Streptophyta; Magnoliopsida; Brassicales; Brassicaceae. The record is from RNAcentral.